This 440-nucleotide ribosomal RNA is filed under the name uncultured bacterium. RNAcentral's name for it is "partial 16S ribosomal RNA". It matches the Rfam family "Bacterial small subunit ribosomal RNA", at positions 338 to 795 of the family's 1533-position model. The record is from RNAcentral.
CCUACGGGAGGCAGCAGUGGGGAAUAUUGCACAAUGGGGGAAACCCUGAUGCAGCGACGCCGCGUGAGCGAUGAAGUAUUUCGGUAUGUAAAGCUCUAUCAGCAGGGAAGAAAAUGACGGUGCCUGACUAAGAAGCCCCGGCUAACUACGUGCCAGCAGCCGCGGGAAUACGUAGGGGGCAAGCGUUAUCCGGAUUUACUGGGGGUAAAGGGAGCGUAGACGGGACUGCAAGCCAGGUGUGAAAGCCCGGGGCUCAACCCCGGGACUGCAUUUGGAACUGUAAGGCUAGAGUGUCGGAGAGGUAGGCGGAAUGCCUAGUGUAGCGGUGAAAUGCGUAGAUAUUAGGAGGAACACCAGUGGCGAAGGCGGCCUGCUGGACGAUGACUGACGUUGAGGCUCGAAAGCGUGGGGAGCGAACAGGAUUAGAUACCCCAGUAGUC